AGACUUUUUCAAGUAUUAAAUGUUAGGGUUUCAGUCGCCAAAGUCUGGCGACUUGAUUCAGGUCGAACGCCGCCGAGUCGAAUACCUCAGUUACGAUGUAAAGUGAAUCGUAGAGCUCGGUUGCUGGAUGGAGUUGCUCAGUUCGCGCAUAACAAGGUCGAUUUGGAUUCAGAUCAGAAGCCUGAGAACAGCUUACCAAAAGAUAUUCAUGCUUGCUGAUGAAAAUUUCGG
Non-coding RNA from Malus domestica (apple), 231 nucleotides. The record is from RefSeq and is a predicted model, not a curated record. Lineage: Eukaryota; Viridiplantae; Streptophyta; Magnoliopsida; Rosales; Rosaceae.